GACAGAGGCCCCGAGCGUUAGUCGGAAUUACUGGGCUUAAAGGGUGCGUAGGCGGCGCGGUAAGUCGGGUGUGAAAUCUCGGAGCUUAACUCCGAAACUGCAUUCGAUACUGCCGUGCUUGAGGACUGGAGAGGAGACUGGAAUUUACGGUGUAGCGGUGAAAUGCGUAGAUAUCGUAAGGAAGACCAGUGGCGAAGGCGGGUCUCUGGACAGUUCCUGACGCUGAGGCACGAAGGUCAGGGGAGCAAACGGG
This 253-nucleotide ribosomal RNA is filed under the name uncultured bacterium. RNAcentral's name for it is "partial 16S ribosomal RNA". It matches the Rfam family "Bacterial small subunit ribosomal RNA", at positions 524 to 776 of the family's 1533-position model. The record is from RNAcentral.